Molecule: long non-coding RNA, 5258 nt
Organism: Siniperca chuatsi (mandarin fish)
Lineage: Eukaryota; Metazoa; Chordata; Actinopteri; Centrarchiformes; Sinipercidae
Exons: 2
Source: RefSeq, a predicted model, not a curated record
GCCAACAUGUCAUGGACAGACAGCGUGCUGUUAGUGGUAUUGAAGAGUAAGGAUCACAGCAGCAUCUAACCGGACCUAAGUGACAUUUGCAGGCAGUUUUUCACUUGUUUUGCCCGACGAGAGUUGAGAGCAGCCAAUGUAUGGGCUGUCAUGUCCCAGCACUGUCACAACUUGAGCCGCUAUGAAAAAAACUGUCACGCACAACAGCAGUGUGAGCUCGCAUCUCGUGUCAAAGAGCGGACACACUUCCGCCGUUCACCGUGGCAUUUCUCAGUGUCACCACAUGCCAGCUACCACAGCGUCAGGUGGGUGGAACAAAUGUCAAGUUUUUAUAACCUUUAUUUAGUCAUGUAAAGGUGAUUCAUCUCCAAUAAUGUUGCUUCAACUACACACCCAGGCGCGGUCUAAUUUAAAUGCAAUAUCUGGAGCAGCUGGAGGACUGUGGAUUGAUAAAGAGCACUCCAAAAGUAGCUGGUAGCUAAAAAGUAGCUGUUUCUAAUUCCUUAUCCACUUCAGAAAUUCCCUUUCAGGUCAGGAUUUGAAGCCUUAAGUCUCAACUUAAUAUUUCUCAAAUCUACUAUAUUGAAGCCAGCCAUUAUGUACCUCAAAGUAGAAAUAAUCUUUAUUUGUAAAGCACUUUUCUAAACUCACAUUACAAAGUUCUUCACACAAGGCAGCAACUUCAAGCAGUUGUCAUUUACACAGAGUUUGAAGGUCAGGCUCAGAGGCAGAUCAGCACCACUGGAGCCGUUAUAGAUUAAGUCAUUUUUAGCAUCCUACACUACAGGUUCCCUUUAGCAGGAAUCACGUGCAUGUGCUACAACCUGCACCAACUACAGGCAUUAAUAUGACAUGAAAGAUACUAUUUUUAGGAUGAAAAAAUGUGAAAAUGAGACAGGUGCCAUGUAAGGGGCCAUGGUAUGUUAAUUUGGUCUUAUCAUGCUGAUAAUUCAUUACCUUUUUUGCACCUUUUUUGAUCUGUUGCCAAUUUGCAUAUCACUAUCUUUCCUGUCAGAACCUGCUGUUUCCUCCCUAUUUUAAUGUAGUUGUUAGUGUGUUCUCGCCUUUCACCAUCACCUGCACCCUGCUGCACCAUUUGAAUGCAAGUCUGAUCAUAACUUCAAGUGUAAAGUCAAAUAAUAACAGACUUGUUAAUAACUAGUUUGUUUCUCCAGUUACAGCGUAUGAUAUAUACUUGUAAACUCUAAUCAUAUUAUAACUUAACUAAGUUGACCGUUUUCAAAACAUUGCUACAGAGAGUGAUGAUUCACUUGUUUUACUAACUUGUUUGCUAUCACAUAUGAACCAGCGUAUGUUUGUUUGUCCAACAUUACCUCAAUAAUAAUUUAAAUGUGUUACUGAGCCCUUACCGGUCAUCAUGAGCAAAAGUUAAAGUAAAGUGAUGGCAUAAAAAAUAAUUUAAAACCAUUAUGCAUACAAAUUUUAAAUUUCAGACUUUUGCGUCCCCUACUGGUGGUAUCAAAAAAGACACUGGCAGACUGUGUCUGACCCAAGGAUACAGACAUGCUGUAAUUAGACUAAAAGCAACACAUUGACUGCACCAAUUAUUUGUGGGAUUGUCUCAUUUUAUGCUAUAAUAAUAAUAACACAACAAUUCUACACAUAGUGGUUUUAAACCGAGGCUCAGCUUCAGUUAAAGAAAACAAACUUUCAAGAAAACUUUACUGACAAUAGACUUCUGGUUAGGAAUUUAACUUGUAAGAGUUGACAGUCAAAACUGUCCUCACAAACUCCCAACACUCCCACCACCUCUCUCCACCCAUCUCCUGUCAUCAAGCUCAUUUCAUGAAGUUAUCUGAAAGCAGGUUGAGACACAAAAAAAACAUGGAUGAAAAUGAGUUCUCUCAAUUGUCUUCUCACCUAACUAACCUCUAAUACUGUCAAGUCAGAUUGAUUCCAGACGUGACAUGUCUCGUAUUCACAACUUCCCAUUACCCUUUUUUUACCAUUUAACUCAGGCAUACUGAGGGCUUCCCUCAGCUUUCAUGGAUAUUUUCCUGUUCACAUGAUGACUCAGUGAUUGUCUGCUGUAUUAAGACCUCACUAAUGAUGAGAAAUAACAUGAAAUGAAUGACACAGCAUGUCACAAAUGGCUCAUUCCUGUUAUUGGUACAACAGCCAGUGAUUUCACUAACAGCCUAUAAUUUCUCCCUCAUAGCAAGCUGGGAUAGAGAGAACAAGCAGGACCUGCGAUUGGCCUAUUUUUAGUGAGAGUGCGCAUGUUUGUAUGGGUUUGUAAUGAGAGUCAGUCAGUCAGUCGGCAGCCUUCAGCCGGGUGGGAUCAUUCUCUGCUGCCAUUAGUGGAAAUGUCAACACUGAGGUAAAGGCUCUGAAUUAUUUACUACUACUGCUACUAUAGACACAGUAUGUUUGCAGUCACGCCAUCUUCCUUUCUAUACAUGUUCACAGACAGAAUAUGCUGCAUGCACAGUAUGGCUGACAACAAACCUCUUUUGUGUUCUCUCUUCAUGUUAUAGGCAGCUCCGUUGGCUAUAUUGGCUUUCAGGCUUAAGUAGAAACAUGUCAUUCAUCUGGGUGAAUGGGCACACAUCUCAUCUCUAAUUAGAUAUCUUGGAGAGAUGAGAGCGAUGCAGUCAGCUGUUACUGCUGUGACUGUGGUUCAUCAAAGCUCGCAGCCAAUCCCAGAUGGCAUUCAGUCCAAGAUGGGCAGCAGAAUCAGACGCAGCCUCUGGUGUUUUUUCCUGAAUCAAAUUUUUGUCUGGGUUUCUGUUUUCCCUUGUGUUUGCAUCUGUGUGUCUAUCUCCCACAUAUGAUGCAUUUUGUGCAUGCAAGUUGAGAAAGUGCAUUCAGCUCUACCAAACAGAAAAUAGGUAACACUGGCAACAAUCUUGGUUCAGUCAGGUUGGGACAAGAUGGCGACACUUGGACAUCAUGGAAUGAUUAAAAGGAUGUUUGGUUAAUGGCAUUAGUCCAACUUUAAAGGAUAAUUGCUCCCCAGACUCUUUCCCUAAACCUAACCCUAUGUUAUACUGUAUCCCUCCUUUUAAAAUAUUUAUAUAUAUGUUUUUAUAUAUACAACAUUUUUUAUAUUUUGUCUGUAUCAUUUAGUGAUUUCUAUAACUUUUUUGCAACUAUUGAUAAUGUAUCUGGAGGGUCGUAUUGUAAGUGUUGUUGUGGAUAUUUUUUGUUUCUUGACUUGACCAUAACAUCAGCAGGACGUAAUCAGUUUUGCGCCAGCACAAAGUAUACCAUGUCAUGUUAAACAUUUGCCUAACAAAGACCAGGUGGAAUUGAAACAUUUUCAUCCAAGGUGCUGGUACUAUUUUUCCUAUCCCCAUGUAUCCCAAUAUAUCUGAUCUGUAACCUUAUUACUGAGCAAAACUGCAUAAAGAUGUAUUUCAGCUAACUGGAAACCAAGAAGAAGAAGAAGUUUCAAUGGCUAAAAGAUGCUGUCUCCAAAAUAAGUUAGACUGAACUGAUGUUUCUGGGAGAACCACCUAAUCUCUCUCAAAAUACAAAUCCAAUCCGAUUUUUUUCCACAGGUUUGAGCCGGUUCCAGCAACCUCCAAGGGGGUGGUAACAUGUCUUAAUGAUGCAUGCAUUAAAAUGGAUUGGCCAGUGAAUGAGUGAAUUCGUAAUGUGUGAAUGAAUGAAAUACACACCCAAAUAAUCUACAAAACAAACAAACAAGGAUUGGCACAGAUUCAGAUUUCUGCCAAAACAGCUUUUUGUGAUUCAGUAGAUGUAAUUGCUUCUUUCUGACAUCAUGUUUCAUCAGGCACUGAAAAAAAGAAACCACAUCUGCCCUCUCAGCACAAAAUCUCAGCCAGCACAUGAAGUAACACUGGUCGAUAAUGAAGACAUAAAACCUCAGAGGUGGAAGCCAAUAUCCUCCUCGGGUCGGUCAAUAAUUAAUUUAGUUUUGCCUUAAGACCCUGUGUGUGAACCUAUUAAAAUGCCACUGACUUAAAGUCAGUGGUAUUAGAGCAGAUUUUUUAUGGUGCUGCACUUUUUGCAGCAGGAAAGUAUAAUUGGAUUUUUGGUUUCUUUUACAUGGGAGUUGAAAAGUCCUGGCCUCACCUGCAAAUGGCAUAAACAACUAAUUGUCAAAAUUUUGAUAAGUAAGAUAGAUAAUGAGAGCAGGGUACAAUCAGAAAUGUUUGGUAAAGAGCUAAAAUGUCACCAAGAUGGCUACUGGAAUAAUUAAAGUCCUCGUCAAUUGUUUUUGGUCUCUUGAGUGAAAUGUCUCAUGGAAAUCCCAAAUACAAGCCAGUAGUUGUUGAGUCAUUGGUGUUGAUCAAUAACCCCAUCAACUCCUCACAGAUAUACUGCGGUAAUUUUGUGUAGCAGUAUGCAGCAUUUACAAUAAGAGCUCAACAACAAUUAAUUGAAACAAAGCUUGGAACUUGCAGUCAAACACACACACACACACGCACACAUUGUUUUUGUCACUUGUGAGGAUAUUAACUUACAUUACAUUAAUAUCCAGGAGGCUUACUCUGACCUUAACCAGAACCGCUGCAUGCCUUAUCCCAACCCUAACAUUAACUUUAACCUGAGCCUAAUUUUAAGAUAAAGCAAGAAGUCUUAACCCUAAAAUAAAUGGUUAACCUUGUGAGGACCAUCUUUUUGUCCCCAGAUGGAAGGUGAGUCCCUACAAUUUGAGAGCCAUUCGUGGUCCCCACACUGUGAUUAGUUCCAAGUAUACAUACACACCAACACCAACAGAUUGCAGACACCAAAUACAUGCAUGCCACCCAUGAACAUAUACAACUCUGUCACCUACAAAUUACAUUCACAUAGAACUAAUAUUUUUGGCUAAUACAUUUUGGAAGGAAAUGUAAUGCUGCCCAGAUUGUGAUCACUGGCAACGAAUUAUUUUAGUGCAAGAAGUGCAAUGAAGUAUGAAAUCCUGGCGGCAUUACGUGUCCAUAAAAAAAUAUCUGAAAAUUGUAUCUGAGUGUAAUUUGUAGAAGACACUUAUGCAGUCUAAUACAUUUCUGGCAGAUAUUUCUAUUAUUUUGUAUAAUGCGAUAUAAUUCAACAGCACCACAAACUGCAGCCUCCAAAAUGAUCAUGCAGUUGAAUCAACACCUUCAAAUCAAAAUCAAUCACAAUCAAAAACCGUUUCAACAAAAACUGAACAUUAUGGCUUUUGUGAAGGUAGGAUUUAAUGCAGGACUGUUGUAUUAGACUGCAUUCAUUUGUGUACCUAAUAAACUGGCAACUGAGUGUACAUCCUUGUACAAAUACUAAUAAAUAUUCUAACAAAACAA